UCUGUGUGCCUGGACCGAUGUGUCUCUAA
This 29-nucleotide non-coding RNA is filed under the name Homo sapiens (human). The record is from RNAcentral. Lineage: Eukaryota; Metazoa; Chordata; Mammalia; Primates; Hominidae.